GCCUGUUGUAUGGAGUGCCUCAGGCUGGUUCCAGAACAAGAUAAGCUUGUGCAGGAUUGGUGCUAUUCCAGACAAGCCCAUGCCAGAGAAGAGAGCUGCUCGUAUGGUGCGAAACUCUGGCGUUUGAAACAUUGGCAGGAGAGAAACCAAGAUUGUGGCAAUUCCCAAUAUGGUUAUGAAUCCCAAAUAGAGAUUGCAGAAGAAAG
RNAcentral lists this unclassified non-coding RNA (206 nucleotides) under Hevea brasiliensis (rubber tree). Lineage: Eukaryota; Viridiplantae; Streptophyta; Magnoliopsida; Malpighiales; Euphorbiaceae. The record is from RNAcentral.